CAGCAGUGGGGAAUAUUGCACAAUGGGCGCAAGCCUGAUGCAGCCAUGCCGCGUGUAUGAAGAAGGCCUUCGGGUUGUAAAGUACUUUCAGCAGUGAGGAAGGUGGGUAUGUUAAUAGCAUAUUCAUUUGACGUUAGCUGCAGAAGAAGCACCGGCUAACUCCGUGCCAGCAGCCGCGGUAAUACGGAGGGUGCGAGCGUUAAUCGGAAUUACUGGGCGUAAAGCGCAUGCAGGUGGUUUGUUAAGUCAGAUGUGAAAGCCCGGGGCUCAACCUCGGAAUUGCAUUUGAAACUGGCAAACUAGAGUACUGUAGAGGGGGUAGAAUUUCAGGUGUAGCGGUGAAAUGCGUAGAGAUCUGAAGGAAUACCGGUGGCGAAGGCGGCCCCCUGGACAGAUACUGACACUCAGAUGCGAAAGCGUGGGGAGCAAACAGGAUUAGAUACCCCUGGUAG
This 452-nucleotide ribosomal RNA is filed under the name uncultured bacterium. RNAcentral describes it as "bacterial SSU rRNA". It matches the Rfam family "Bacterial small subunit ribosomal RNA", at positions 349 to 793 of the family's 1533-position model. The record is from RNAcentral.